Long non-coding RNA from Mastomys coucha (southern multimammate mouse), 666 nucleotides. RefSeq lists it as uncharacterized. NCBI's taxonomy places the organism in Eukaryota, Metazoa, Chordata, Mammalia, Rodentia, Muridae. The record is from RefSeq and is a predicted model, not a curated record. The transcript has 3 exons.
GGUGAAUUGUGGGGUUUGACAGAUUUUUUUUUAGUCCCUGAAAACCAUGACUCAAGCCUUUUUCUGGAAACCCAGAGACGGACCUGGCCAGAGAGUUCAUCAAUGUAAUUCACAUAAAAACCCAGCACUGAGACCAGUUCCAGAAUAAAUAAUGACUUACAGUAUAACAAUGUGCCUGUGAAAACAUACAGCUCUUCGUUUGUCAACACGUAUGAACCCGAUUUUAGCUUUUAAAAAAAAAAAGCGUACUUCCAGCUAACGAGCAGAACACAGACAGAGAACACUUAAACCGUCACCCUGGUCCGACAGACAGAGAACACUUAAACCGUCACUGUGGUCCGAUCAUCCUGUGAUUAUGGCGAAAUAUUGAGAGUCCAAAGCAUUUGCUGAACACGUGCCUGGCAGUGUCCCAAAUAACGAUGAGAAACACGAGGACAGGAUGUCCAAGGGCUUUAACAUUCUAACCCUAUUUCUGCCUCAACUGUAGGAUGGACACACGGAGGAUGCUAAGCUAUCCCCUGGUUUUGUUUAGCUUUUAUGGCUAAUGUGAGUUUUGAAACUUAGGGUAGAAACAGCCAGACCAAAAUCUGCUGCCAGACUCCCCGGGAAGAUGAGACCCAGUGCAUGGCUCUCACCGAAGGCCACUCUCUUUGUGGAACCCUGACA